Molecule: long non-coding RNA, 5514 nt
Filed under: Canis lupus familiaris (dog)
Lineage: Eukaryota; Metazoa; Chordata; Mammalia; Carnivora; Canidae
Description: lncRNA (ENSCAFG00845028403.1)
Source: RNAcentral
UUUCUUGUCAUAGACAUAGCAACUGUUGGGAUUAAAGACUGCAAUGAACAAGUUGGGGAGAAAGGAUUUCUCAGGAGAGAACUAAUCUCACCUUCUGUCUUUCUUUUUCUCUCAGUAAUACUUAUCAAGGCCCCAACCACAGAAAGAGAGAAAAAUUUAACUUCAGGUCAGCUUGAAAAUUGUGCUGCAUCUCUGGCACUGGACAUUUUAAGUUCUUGAACUAAAACUUUAUGCUAUGGGCCUUUUUGUUACCUAAGAGUUUAGUAGAGGAGUCAUCAGACCUGUCUGAAUUUUCAUCCAGUAGCUGAAGAAACAGUCAUCACUGAGCAAGUUUGAUGGUUCAUGUAAGGUAAAGUUUAUCUUAAACUUUAUUUCAUGAUUCCCCAUUAAGGAAUGUGCAUGUUCAGUGGAAUACUGGUACCAAAGGGGUACUUGGUACUUGCAGCGACAACCUUCUCUAGCUUGCUGGAGGGAAGAACCAGGAGCAGAUAACAUCCAGAAACAUAUAAAGGGUUUACACACCAUGACCAAGUAGGAUUUAUCCCAGGAAUGCAAACGGUUUUACAUGUGAAAAGCAAUCCAUGCAACACACCAUAGUAAUAGCAGAAGGGACAACAAACCACAUGAUCACUUCAACAGACACAGGAAAACAUCUGAUAAAAUCCAACAGCAUUUUUUGCCAGAAACACUCAGCAACAUAGGAAGACAAGGGAACUUCCUCAACCUGAUUCAGAGCAUCUACAAAACCCCUCAGCUAGCAUCACACUUAAUAGUGACACUAGAAAGUUUUCUCUCAAAGAUCGGUACAAGACAAGGAUGCUUGCUUUCACCACUUCGACUCAAUGCUGGAGUGGAAGUUCUGGCUUGGACAAUGAGACAGUGAACAGAAACAAAAGCCAUCCAUAUUGGAAAGGAAGAAAUAAAACUAUCUCUAUAGACAAAGACAUGAUCUUGCAUGUAGAAAACUUAAAGAAUUCGGGCAGCCUGGGUGGCUCAGCAGUUUAGCGCCUACCUUCAGCCCAGCAUGAUCCUGGAGACCCGGGAUCGAGUUCCACGUCAGGCUCCCUGCAGGGAGCCUGCUUCUCCCUCUGCCUGUGUCUCUGCCUCUCUCUCUGUGUUUCUCAUGAGUAAAUAAAUAAAAUCUUUAAAGAAAAAAAGAAAACUUAAAGAAUUCAUACACAAAAAUCUACUAGAACUAGCAACCAAGUUUGGCAAGUUUGCAGAAUUCAAGAUCGAUAUACAAAAAUCAUCUGUAUUUUUAUACACUCAUAAUGAGCAAAUCAAAAUAAGAUUAAGAAAAAAAUUAUAUUUAUAGUAGCAACAAACAUAAUGAAAAUACUUAAAAAUAAAUAUCCAGGAAUUUGCAAGUAGCCAACUUUGUUUUCAGAAAUGUAAAACCACUAGAUUUCACUGCUUGGCUUUGUUGUGAAGUAUACCCCACCCAAGCACACCCAGAAGCAAGACCACAAACUGACCACCAUGUGCCUUCUCACUUCUUCCAUCUCUUGCACACUUGAAAUUUUUCUUGAAAUUUCUUACUCUCAUGAUACAACUAAUGCAAACUGAACAUUCUAAUUCCCUACAAGAGCUAUGAUUAGCCUCUCGUUAUUUUAGUAAUUUCUCAAAUCAGUUUCAUUGUCCUGAUGCAAACAUCUGCACUCCUUCUAGCUUCAGCACUCUCAACAGUUCCCCAACAUUGACAGUUUUGUCUUUUCUUCCUCCAGGGGCUAAUUCUCAGCUCCGAGCCAUCCUCUGAUCCCCUGCUUUCAUCCUCACUGGAUUCUCUUAUCCUUAAUCGGUGAGCCAGCUCCUAGACUUACACAGUUCAGAGAGAUUCAGUCAUCAAUGAAGUAUUUUCUUCGAGCCUGAGGAAAGAAAGAAUGGGAAAUGCACCACAAACCAUUUGCCUUUGGGGAUCUUUUCUUCCCUUUUGCCUUAGUAAUAAAAAAAAAAAAAAAAUAGCAUAAUCAGAUCUGGGCUUACUCAUACUUAAUUAUACCCAAACCCAAAAUUACAAUAGCUUGUCGAUGUCACCUUGGCCCUCCCUAGAAUGUUUUUGGUAAGUGUUUUGCCCAUAAAGCUAAUGUUAAGCAAGUGGAUAACAGACCCAAGAGACGUUUUAAUCCAAAAUAAUGACCAUAUCAAAUGAAAGCCCUAACCUCAGUAGAGAAUUACUGAAGAGUGUACUGGAAAACAGAAUAAUAGAAAUCUAGAGCAGCAAAGAGGCAAGGCUCUUAGUCACAACUGUGCCAUUUUAAUCAUGAGCAGAUUUAGUCAUUCUCAAUAUAUUAUUUUUAAUUUUCAUGAAGUCUUGAAUUAAAUAAACUGUCCCUUUAGGAUUACCUCAGCUAGACACAUGGACUUGGUAGAACCUACAAAGUAUUUCAGACUUUUGUCCCAGAGUAGACAACAAGUAGAAAAAUCAGUUUUCAACGUUAACUUCCCAGGCCCACUUGGCUUUACUGGAAGUUACAGAAAACAUUUUAGAUGGAAUUAAUAUCAAUUCUUCACAAACACUUCCCACCUCAUUAUAUGAAACUAGCAUUACCAAAACCGGGUAGACACACACACACAGGUAUUGUAUGAAUAUAGAUGCAAAAAAUCCCCAACAAAAUAUAAGCAAAUGAAAUCCAGAAACUUACAAAAGGGAUUAUAUGCCAUGACUAAGCAGAAGUUAUAUCAGAAAUGCAAACUGGUUUAACAUAUGAGAAGCAAUCCAUGCAACACACCAUAGUAAUAGCAGAAGGGACAACAAACCACAUGAUCACUUCAACAGACACAGGAAAACAUCUGAUAAAAUCCAACAGCAUUAUUUUUGCCAGAAACACUCAGCAACAUAGGAAGACAAGGGAACUUCCUCAACCUGAUUCAGAGCAUCUACAAAACCCCUCAGCUAGCAUCACGCUUAAUGGUGACACCAGAGAGUUUUCCCUCAAAGAUCCGAAGAAGAAAAGGAUGCUUGCUCUCACCACUUCGACUCAAUGCUGCAGUGGAGGUUCUGGCUUGGACAAUGAAACAGUGAACAGAAACAAAAGCCAUCCAUAUUAGAAAGGAAGAAGCAAAAUUAUCUCUAUCGACAAGACAUGAUCUUGCAUGUAGAAAGCCUACAGAAUUCAUACACAAAAGUCUAUUAGAACUAGCAAAUGAGUUUGACAAAUUUGCAGAAUCCAAGGUCAACAUGUAAAAAUCAAUUAUAUCUCUGUACUAGUUAUGAAAAAAAAAAAACAAAAUAAAAUUUUAAAAUUCUAUUUACCAGGGUGCCUGGGUGGCUUGGUCUGUUAAGCAUCCAGCUCUUGAUUUCAGCUCAGAUCAUGAUCUCAGGGUCCUAGGAUCAUGGACCAUGCCAGGCAACCAACUGAGCAUGGAGUCUACUUGAGAUUCUUUCCCUCUUCCUCUCCCUCCCCAUCUGCCCCUCCCUGCCACUUGCUGGCAAGUGUGCCCAUGCACACACUCUCUCAAAUAAAUAAAUAAAUAAAUAAAUAAAUAAAUAAAUAAAUUUAAAAAUAAUAAAAUUCUAUUUAUAAUAGAAACAAAACUAAUGAAAAUAUUUAGGAAUAAAUUAAUAAAAGUCCAAUACUUGUACACUGAAACCUACAAAACAUUGUUAAAAAAUUAAAGGUUGAAAUAAAUGGAAGGACAUUUCACAUUCAUGGGUAAGAACCCAUCAUAUUGUUAAGAUGGGAAUAUUCUCUAGAAUUAUAUACAAAUUCAAUACAAACUCUAUCAACAUUCUAACUGGAAUUGUGAAGAAACUGGAAGCUGACCAUAAAAUUUACAUGAAAAGACAAGGGACCCAGAGUAGCCAAAACAAUUCUGAAAACAAGAACAAUACUGGAGGACUCACAUUUGCCAAUUUCAAUACAAAACAGCUACAGUAAUCUAGACAAUGCAGUACAGGCACACAGAUACACACACGGAUCAAUGGAGUAGAAUCCAGAGUCCAUAAAUAAACCCUUAUGUUUAUGGUCAAUUGGAUUUUGACAAAGGUGCAAAUGAGGAAGGGAACAGCUUUUGAACAAAGGAUGCUGGAACCUGGUAUACAGAGCAAAAAAAUUGGACCCUUCUUUAUACCAAACACAAAAAUCAUUCUAGUGUAAGAUACAAAACUAUAAAAGUCUUAGGAGUAAAUGCAAGAAUAUACUUUGUAGCUGUGGAUUAGACAAUGUAUUUUUAGAUAUGAAACCAAAAGCACAAGUGGGGAAAAAAAAGAUUGAUUAUUUAGUCUAUAGCAAACUUUUAAACUUUUGUCAUACAAUUGGUACCAUCACCAAAGUAAAAGACUAUAGUAUAUAAAGAGGGAAGUAUUUGAAACACAUAUGCUUUAAGGGACUGGUAUUCAGAAUAUGAAGAACAUUUACAACUCAAUAAAAAAAAAAAUCCAAGUACAUAAUGGGCAAAGGAUGUGAGUAAACAUGUCUCCAAAGAAGAUAUACAAAUAGCCAAUAGCACAUGAAAAAUAUGCUGAACAUAAUUAAUCAUUAGGGAAAUUCAAAUUACAACUGCCAUGAGAUACAACAUCAUACCCACUUGGAUGGCUAUAACCAAAAGUCAGAAGACAGUGGGUGUUGGCAAGGUAUGAAAAUAUUGGAAUUAUUAUACACUCAUAUUAAAUAUUGGAAUUAUUAUACACUCAUAUUAAAAUGCUGCUGUCACUUUGGAAAACCAUUUGGCAGCUCCUCCAAUAUUAAAAUCGGAGAUAGCCAUUAUGACAUAGCAUUUACACCCCUAGAUGUAUACCCAAAGGAAAUGAAAAUCUGCAUCCUCAAAAAACUUUUCUGUGAUUGCUUACAGCAACAUUAUUCAUAAUAGGCAAGAAGUGGAAACAACAGAAAUGCCUAUUAACUGAUAAAUGGGAAAAUCAAAUGUGGCAUAUCCACACAAAGGAAUACUAGCCAGUGUGGAAAAUGAAGUUUUGAUACAGGCUACAUUAUAGUAGUGCUGCAUUGUAACAUUAUGCUAAGUGAAUGAAGCCAGUCACAGAAGGCCACACAUAUACAAUUUACUUAUAUGAAAUGUCCAGCAUAAACAAGAAAUUUAUAAGGACAGAAAAGUGUAUCACUGGUUCACUGAGUUAGGUGGGUUGGAAUGAGAAAUGAUUACUAAUGGGUAUGGGAAUAUUUGGUGAGGAGCUGAUGAAACUUCUCUAAAACUAAUUGUGAUGAUGAUUGCAGAGCUGUGACUAUACUGAAAAGUGUUGAAUUGUACACCCUGAAGGGGUGAGUCUUAUGGUUUGUGAAUUAUAUAUCUUAAUGAAGAUGUUAAGAGUUGAUUUGGUCAUGUUCAUGCUUUACUGUCACCCAAAAUUCAUGGGUCAUGUGGGUAGCUCGGUUGGUAAUGCCACCAACUCUAUUUCAGUUCAGGUCACGGAUCUCAGGGUCUUAAGAUCCACAGCCCUGAGUCAGGCUCCAUGCUGGGGUUGGAGUCUGCUUAAGAUUCUUUCUCUCCCUCUCCCUCUCUUUCUGCCCGUCUCCCUCCCUCUUCCUCUUUCUUUCAAAAAAAAAAAAAAAAAAAAAA